Termitomyces sp. Mi166#008 is the source of this 89-nucleotide non-coding RNA. NCBI's taxonomy places the organism in Eukaryota, Fungi, Basidiomycota, Agaricomycetes, Agaricales, Lyophyllaceae. The record is from the annotation of a GenBank genome assembly.
UCUCUGCUAGUAUAUCGGCUAGUACACGCGCCUGUCAUUUGCUGCCAGUGAUGACGCGCGAAAGCUGGGUUCGAUUCCCAGGCAGAGAG